CCUUUAAGGGAAACUCGGUGAGGGGUGGGUAUGGGAAGGUGAGUAGGAACUACACUAGUCUGGUGAUCUCAAGAUGGUUUCUGGUAAGCUGGUCAAUCUCCAGAUCCUCAGGCUGACCUUGUCUUCAUUAUCUGAUCAGUAGAUAGUACUGGAUCCCCUGAAUUAUCUCAAAAUAUCAUAUCUCUCUUGACUUCAUAAAUUUAUUGGUAGGUGAGGAUAAUUGACAGUGCACAAGUAGAUUUACAGAUUUCCCAGGAAUUUGGGAGUUAACAGGCCUAGGAGAGAGACUGGCUUAGGAAGUGACAGACCUGGAAAAGCAGGUGGGACUUCUGACUAAGUUUUAUUUUCUUGUCCUUUCUUUAUGUCUCCUUUCUACCUAUUUUUAAUUUUUUCUAUCCUACCUAAGGACUGCUACAAAUCAUGUGACAAUAUUAAUGUGCCCACAGUUAUAUUCUCAGAGUGUUGAGCGAUAUUAGGUUUACAUUUCAUUUAAUUCCCAUAAGUUAAAAGAGAGACACAUCCCCAUUUUAUAGAUGAAUAAAGUUUCAGCACAACAAUGCAAGUGCCAAGCCCCACCAAAUCUCAGAGGCACAUAGCUAGAACAUGUCUUUCUCACCAGACACCUGCAGGUUGGCUGUGGUUCAGUGGAUCUGGCUACACUCAGCAAGGCUCUGGUCCAGGCUGGGCUGUGUCCAGCCAUGCUCUGUGUGUCCUUUAUUCUGAGAUCAGCAGGCAACUAGGGCACGUUCAUCCUAAAUAUGUCAGGUAAAAAUGUGCCACCUGGGUGCAUGCCUGUAGCCUCAGCAAAAGCGGUGUGCUAGGCCACUCGGUGAGAUCCUGCCUCUAAAUAAAAUAAAAAUAGAGCUGGGGAUGUGGCUCAGUGGCUGAGUGUCUCUAUCCUGGGUACCCCCCCCCCACCGCCCCAAAAAAAUGUGCCACUUGGGUGUAAGAAUUUCUGAGAGUCGUGGGUGCAGAAGAGGAUUCUUCCUUCCAUUUUCUGCCUAAAAUCAGGGCAUAAAUUUCCCUUGAGAAAGGGUCUACCUGUCCCAUACCAGAAAGAGGAGAGACUCUAGGACCAGAGGUGGAAAGCCAGCUCCUGGUCACUCUGCAGAAACAACCUUAUCCUGUUUAUUUCCCAGUCACUUCCCCAUGAUUCAGCCCUCCUGCAAGCCCAAGCCCCCUUUCCUUUGUUAAGGUGGUACGUAAGGCCCCAAGGCUGACCACUUAAAUUUCACUUUUUUUUCUAUAAACUUCCAUGCAUGUAACAUACUGAUAAAAAUUAUAUGCCUUUUCUUCUGUACAUCUCUUUUGUUACCUUUAAAUUUACAGACCUCCAGGAAUGAAUCUAAAAAGAUGGAGGAAAAGUUUUUCUUUCUCAACAAUCUCAUGGCCAGAAGGAUCAAAGGCACAACUCAGCCACACAUUUGAAGGCUUUGUUCCUGUCACUUCCACUAAAGGUCCCUUGGCCAAAGCACAAGAAUGCAGCCAAGUCAAGUCAUGGGCCACACGGAGAGGAGAGGGGCUGGUUUAAGGCUUCCAUUGUCUGAUACCAAAGCUGGAGCUGCUUCCAUUUCGGGCCCCCCCUUAGGAAUUCCUCUGGCUUGUUGUCUUUACUGCCCAACAAAGCAAUUAGUUACAUACUUUUGCCACAUUAUUCAGGUCUUAGUUCUUUGGUGUUUGCUUUGUGUCCCCAGUAGAAUUUUUGAGUUAUUUCAUCAAGGGCACUUCUGGGUCACCCUAGCACUGAUCGUGCUGGCUGAGAGAAGGUACACAGUGAGUAAUUGUAAUGGCAAUGGUAUUGUUUUUUUCUUUCUUGCAAUCCUGAAGAUCAAUCAAAACAAGAACCUCAUGCAUGGAAAAUGUGUGUGUCCUACCACCGAGCUGUACCCCCAGCCCAUAAUUUGUAGAAGGACUGGUCAGGUGCAUUUUCUCCUACCUUCCUACCAAGAAACCUGUGGUAUGCACCACUGUGGGUAUCCUGGCAGAUUCCACAGAAACAAGCCCCGAAGAGCUGAGCACAUUACUGUGGCCCCACAGUGCUGGGAGAAUUUGACAGCUCUUCAUUAUGUCGGAGCAUCUUCUAUCAGCAGGUAUGGCUAGAUUAAUCAGCACUGCAUCCUGGAAGACUUAAUUAGCAGCUCCUUGCCAGAACUCGGCUUAUUAAAAGCAGACAAGGUAGGAAGGAAGGUAGGAGGGAAGAAAGGAAGAAUUCUAAACUUAUAACCUUAUUCUGAGUUACUCUUCAUGCAAACCUGAGACCCAAAUCUCACCUGAACAGUCAAGAUCUGGAAGCUAACUCAGGAAAGGCUUCCCUCUCAGACUGAUGAGGCUAAUGCUGGCGAUGCUUACUUUUCCCUCACUGUGCACAGGGUCAUUCAUCCAUCAACUUUGUUCUUCAUCUUACUUCAUCUUCUAGAUUCUACUGUAUAAUUAUUAUCCUUUUGCAUCUGAGGAAAAUCCAUCUUAAAGAGAUUUGUGACCUUCCCUGCGUCCCAGUACUUACAAGAUGGUGAAGUUGUGAAAGAAAUCCUGGAAAAAUAAUCUUUGCUCUUGAGCUUUCUAUGUUAAGUUCCUACUGUGAUCAUUUAAUUUUCAUAAACUAUUUCAAACAUUAAAAAGUGUGGAAGAUACUAGGGUACCCAUCAACCAGUUUUGAAAUAAAAAGGGGCUUUUUUAAUUUUUUUAAUGAUCAAUUUUUUAAGAAUUACAAACCAAAAAUAUUCCAUAAUUCCUCCCUCUCUACCCAGAGGCCACCUUUAUUUCUGUUCAGUAUUUCUAAUUCAGUGUGAUCAAAUAACAUUAUUUAUCCAUUCUCUGUUGGAUUUGGUUAUGUGUCGGUGAGUAUUUUCUGUAUGUGUCUUCUUUAUGCGUAUGUUCUAGAAGUUUCCUAGAAUACACUAAAAAGUGCAGGGGCUGUCAGAGAGCAUGCUUGUUUUCCACCACGUGGCCCUAGAGCUCUCCAGGGUGGUGAAAGCCACGCCCACUCCCCUAGGAGGUCUGGCUGUUCUCCCAUCUCCUCAUCUCCUCAGCAGCCAGC
Molecule: long non-coding RNA, 3037 nt
Filed under: Marmota monax (woodchuck)
Lineage: Eukaryota; Metazoa; Chordata; Mammalia; Rodentia; Sciuridae
Source: RNAcentral